This 513-nucleotide ribosomal RNA is filed under the name Dialister invisus. RNAcentral describes it as "bacterial SSU rRNA". It matches the Rfam family "Bacterial small subunit ribosomal RNA", at positions 28 to 499 of the family's 1533-position model. Lineage: Bacteria; Bacillati; Bacillota; Negativicutes; Veillonellales; Veillonellaceae. The record is from RNAcentral.
GACGAACGCUGGCGGCGUGCUUAACAAACCAAUAUGCCAAGUUCGAACGAAAAGACGGAAAGAGCUUGCUCUUUCGGGAAUUGAGUGGCAAACGGGUGAGUAACACGUAAACAACCUGCCUUCAGGAUGGGGACAACAGACGGAAACGACUGCUAAUACCGAAUAAGUUCCAAGAGCCGCAUGGCCCAUGGAAGAAAAGGUGGCCUCUACCUGUAAGCUAUCGCCUGAAGAGGGGUUUGCGUCUGAUUAGCUGGUUGGAGGGGUAACGGCCCACCAAGGCGACGAUCAGUAGCCGGUCUGAGAGGAUGAACGGCCACACUGGAACUGAGACACGGUCCAGACUCCUACGGGAGGCAGCAGUGGGGAAUCUUCCGCAAUGGGCGAAAGCCUGACGGAGCAACGCCGCGUGAGUGAUGACGGCCUUCGGGUUGUAAAACUCUGUGAUCCGGGACGAAAGGGCAGAGUGCGAAGAACAAACUGCAUUGACGGUACCGGAAAAGCAAGUCACGGCUA